This 464-nucleotide ribosomal RNA is filed under the name uncultured bacterium. Its description in RNAcentral is "partial 16S ribosomal RNA". It matches the Rfam family "Bacterial small subunit ribosomal RNA", at positions 28 to 507 of the family's 1533-position model. The record is from RNAcentral.
GACGAACGCUGGCGGCGUGCUUAACACAUGCAAGUCGAACGGAAAGGCCCUGCUUGCAGGGUACUCGAGUGGCGAACGGGUGAGUAACACGUGGGUGAUCUGCCCUGCACUUCGGGAUAAGCCUGGGAAACUGGGUCUAAUACCGGAUAGGAGCCAUUUUUAGUGUGAUGGUUGGAAAGUUUUUUCGGUGUAGGAUGAGCUCGCGGCCUAUCAGCUUGUUGGUGGGGUAAUGGCCUACCAAGGCGGCGACGGGUAGCCGGCCUGAGAGGGUGGACGGCCACAUUGGGACUGAGAUACGGCCCAGACUCCUACGGGAGGCAGCAGUGGGGAAUAUUGCACAAUGGGCGCAAGCCUGUUGCAGCGACGCCGCGUGGGGGAUGACGGCCUUCGGGUUGUAAACUCCUUUCGCUAGGGACGAAGCUUUUGUGACGGUACCUAGAUAAGAAGCACCGGCUAACUACGUG